GCCAGACUCCUACGGGAGGCAGCAGUGGGGGAUAUUGCACAAUGGGGGAAACCCUGAUGCAGCGACGCCGCGUGGGUGAAGGAGCACUUCGGUGCGUAAAGCCCUAUCAGCAGGGAAGAAGAUGACGGUACCUGACUAAGAAGCCCCGGCUAAAUACGUGCCAGCAGCCGCGGUAAUACGUAUGGGGCAAGCGUUAUCCGGAUUUACUGGGUGUAAAGGGAGCGCAGGCGGCCUGGCAAGCCUGAUGUGAAAUACCGGGGCCCAACCCCGGGGCUGCAUUGGGAACUGCCAGGCUGGAGUGCCGGAGAGGCAGGCGGAAUUCCUAGUGUAGCGGUGAAAUGCGUAGAUAUUAGGAGGAACACCAGUGGCGAAGGCGGCCUGCUGGACGGUGACUGACGCUGAGGCUCGAAAGCGUGGGGAGCAAACAGGAUUAGAUACCCCCGUA
Molecule: ribosomal RNA, 445 nt
Filed under: uncultured bacterium
Lineage: Bacteria
Description: bacterial SSU rRNA
Rfam family: Bacterial small subunit ribosomal RNA
Source: RNAcentral